RNAcentral lists this unclassified non-coding RNA (255 nucleotides) under uncultured fungus. Its description in RNAcentral is "partial contains 5.8S ribosomal RNA, internal transcribed spacer 2, and large subunit ribosomal RNA". The record is from RNAcentral. Lineage: Eukaryota; Fungi.
AACGCACAUUGCGCCCCUUGGCAUUCCGAAGGGCAUGCCUGUUCGAGCGUCAUGAUCAAAUCUCAAGCCUUGCUUGGUAUUGGGUCUUCGUCUCCCUCGUCUUUGUACGGGUAUUGACGUGCCUGAAAAUCAAUGGCAGUGCCUUAUUAGACUCAAGCGUAACAGACUGACACGCUUUAGAGAACUUUUGUAGGUCCUGUCAAUAAAAUAACAAGUUUGGACCUCGGAUCAGGUAGGGAUACCCGCUGAACUUAA